CACCCCCCCCACACACACCUUAUACACCCCAGACAUAACACACACCCCACACCCCAGACAUACACAUACCCCUGACACACACCACACCCCACCCCAGAUACCACACACCCCACACCCCGACAUACCCCUGACACAGCUCACCCCAGAUACACACCCUACCCCAGAUACACACCAUACCCCAGACACACAACACCCCCCCAACACACACCAUCCCAGUCACAUGCCACACAUCCCAGACACACACCCCACACGCCACAUCCCACACACACACGCCCGACACACCGCACCCCAGACACACACCACACCCACACACAUGCCACACCCCACACAUACACCCCACCCCACACACACAUCACACCCCUCACAACCACACCCCACACACACACCACACCCCACAAACUACAUAGACUAUGCUAGCCACAUACCACACACCAGACACACACACCACACAUGAGCAUGACGUAUACCGCACACAUGCCAUGCACUGUACCCCCCCACACACAUCCCAGACACACAUACCACACACACUACACAGACCACACAGCAGACAUACCACACACCAGCACCACACCCCCUCACACCACAUGCCACACACACCACAUGCCAGCAUCACACACACACCAUACCUCCUUCAUACACACCACACACACAAACCAGACACACACCUACAUACCACACACCACACACCAGCCACACACCACAAACACACCACACACACCACACGCCACGCAUAUAUCAGAUACACCACAUACGUACAGAUACACCACAAUAUACACCACACGACACAUGUACCACAACACACACACACGACAUAACACGCACACACAUCACAAACACAAUCAUGUCCACCACACAACACACACACCAUGUGCAUGCACACAAUAAAUGCACAGCACAAAACAUCACAUACACCAAAUCACACACACCACACACACAUCAAACACCAUACACACAGACCAUGCAUACUCACUGCACAUGUGCACACAUACCAACACACACCACACACACACACUGUACACACACCUAAAACCACCCCCAUACACACCAUACCAAACACAACCACUCACACAUGCACCACACACAGCACAGCAUACAACACACAUCACACACACACCAAUCAUACCACUGUUACACACACACCACCACACAUACUGCACACACCAAAGCACAUACACACCACAUAGACACAUGCACGCUACCCACACCACACCAAUCACAUCCACACAUACACAACCAUACACACACACACACACAUUGUUGACUUAGGAUCGUUUCAACUCACAGUGGGUUUAUUGGGAUGCAGCCCCGUGGCAAGUGGAGCAGCAUGUGUAUUGACAAGGGGAGGAAAGCCGUCUGGA
Molecule: long non-coding RNA, 1358 nt
Filed under: Homo sapiens (human)
Lineage: Eukaryota; Metazoa; Chordata; Mammalia; Primates; Hominidae
Description: non-protein coding lnc-SHC3-5:3
Source: RNAcentral